RNAcentral lists this ribosomal RNA (253 nucleotides) under uncultured bacterium. Its description in RNAcentral is "partial 16S ribosomal RNA". It matches the Rfam family "Bacterial small subunit ribosomal RNA", at positions 524 to 776 of the family's 1533-position model. The record is from RNAcentral.
UACGUAGGGUGCAAGCGUUGUCCGGAAUUAUUGGGCGUAAAGAGCUCGUAGGCGGUUUGUCGCGUCUGCUGUGAAAACUCGGGGCUUAACCCUGGGCCUGCAGUGGGUACGGGCAGACUAGAGUUCGGUAGGGGAGACUGGAAUUCCUGGUGUAGCGGUGAAAUGCGCAGAUAUCAGGAGGAACACCGGUGGCGAAGGCGGGUCUCUGGGCCGAUACUGACGCUGAGGAGCGAAAGCGUGGGGAGCGAACAGG